This 1058-nucleotide long non-coding RNA is filed under the name Mytilus galloprovincialis (Mediterranean mussel). The record is from RNAcentral. Lineage: Eukaryota; Metazoa; Mollusca; Bivalvia; Mytilida; Mytilidae.
GGAAAAUAAGGUAAAUAUCAUAAAAAAUUCAAUAACUCAAGCUUACAUUUGAAUGCAAAAAAAAGAUAUAUGAAAUUCAAUCUUUGGUAUAAAAAAUAAAUGAGGUUAUUGUAAUUUGAGCAAGGUCUGAAAUUAAUGUGAUUUUAAAUAGUUUAACUUCUCAGUACUGGGGUAUAACAAACAUCAUCCAUAAAGGUUUAAUAACCGUUAACAUAUAUUGAUUCUCAAAUUUGCUAAUUACAAAAAUUAUUACUAAGCAGUACUAGGGAAAUGUUGACUAUGAAAAGGGUGAAUAGCCAGAUUUUGGCAAGAAUUGGCCAUUUUCAGGAACAUUUUUUGCCAAAUAAACAUUGAUCACAAGUUUCAACCAAAGCAAUUUUUUUUCAUGAGUUCUGGUAGAUGACUUUCUUAAGGGGCAAGACUUGUGCUACAGUCAUUCUCUGUUAUAGGUCAAUACAUAUUUCUUUUUACAUCUUUCAGCAAUUCAAGUACAUAUUAAUUAUUCAUAGUAAGCGUAUCAUAGUACAAAUGUAAUCAGAUCACCAUUUUGAGUCAGAUUAGAUAUCCUGGAUAGUUUUUAAAGGUUGUAAAGAUGACCUUUGGUCUAAAUGAAAUUAAAUGGUGAUCUUUGGUCUAACUGUAAGCCAUGCAAUUAGCAGAAAAUAUUAAAAAGAUGAACUACAACUGUCACGCAUCAUGUUUCUGAAUUUUAAGAUUAGUCUGAGGGUUGUACCUCCAUUAGGAUUUUGUUUUUGGGGAAAUCAUUGUAGAAAACAUAAUUUUUUAAGGGGGAAAGACUGAAGCAAUUAAUAUCAAGAAACUGGCCAGCAUUUUUUUCUGUUUUACAUGACUAAUGAUAUUUUCAGUUAUUAUUGAUAAGUAAAAUUGUUUUGAUGCUGUACAUGUCAUUGUAACAGUAAUUGAAAACCAGUAAUUAACAUUCAGUUGCACAUUAAGAAUUGUUUUUUUGUUUAUCAUUCAAAUAACGGAAUGAUAAUAAAUUUAAUGUACAAAUGUACUAUUUAUCCAUAUAAUGGAUGCAAUAUUAUAUUUUUCUU